This 452-nucleotide ribosomal RNA is filed under the name uncultured bacterium. Its description in RNAcentral is "bacterial SSU rRNA". It matches the Rfam family "Bacterial small subunit ribosomal RNA", at positions 340 to 785 of the family's 1533-position model. The record is from RNAcentral.
UACGGGAGGCAGCAGUGGGGAAUAUUGCACAAUGGGCGCAAGCCUGAUGCAGCCAUGCCGCGUGUAUGAAAAAGGCCUUCGGGUUGUAAAGUACUUUCAGUCGUGAGGAAGGUGUUAAGGUUAAUAACCUUAGCAAUUGACGUUAGCGACAGAAGAAGCACCGGCUAACUCCGUGCCAGCAGCCGCGGUAAUACGGAGGGUGCGAGCGUUAAUCGGAAUUACUGGGCGUAAAGGGCACGCAGGCGGUUAAUUAAGUUGGAUGUGAAAUCCCCGGGCUUAACCUGGGAAUGGCAUUCAAGACUGGUUAGCUAGAGUCUUGUAGAGGGGGUAGAAUUCCAUGUGUAGCGGUGAAAUGCGUAGAGAUGUGGAGGAAUCCGGUGGCGAAGGCGGCCCCUGGACAAAGACUGACGCUCAUGUGCGAAAGCGUGGGGAGCAAACGAGGGAUUAGAUAC